Molecule: ribosomal RNA, 253 nt
Filed under: uncultured bacterium
Lineage: Bacteria
Description: partial 16S ribosomal RNA
Rfam family: Bacterial small subunit ribosomal RNA
Source: RNAcentral
UACGAAGGGGGCUAGCGUUGCUCGGAAUUACUGGGCGUAAAGGGAGCGUAGGCGGACAUUUAAGUCAGGGGUGAAAUCCCAGAGCUCAACUCUGGAACUACCUUUGAUACUGGAUGUCUUGAGUGUGAGAGAGGUAUGUGGAACUCCGAGUGUAGAGGUGAAAUUCGUAGAUAUUCGGAAGAACACCAGUGGCGAAGGCGACAUACUGGCUCAUUACUGACGCUGAGGCUCGAAAGCGUGGGGAGCAAACAGG